AGAGAGAUGAAGAAUAAGGCAAUCUUCCUGACAGUUGCGGAGAAGUGCAAAGUAUCAUCCCUUCAUCGCCCACACUCCACACACGCAUCCACUACUUUUCUUCUUCUUCUUCAUAUUUGGUCUCAGUUUAAUCUUUUCUUUUUGGUAUGUUGUGUGAGAUCUGAGAUGGCGCAGACCAUUUUGGCUUCAAACUGGCAAGGCCGUCUUAAUACCAUCAAAGCUGAUGCUAAGGGAAGGUAAGUUUUAAAAUUGACAUAAUACAGAAAAAUUAGCCCAUCUCUUCAUUCGUAAUCAUAUAUCUCAUAUCUAUCUGUGAUGAAACUCACCAUUGCUUUAAAGUAAUGGAUUCCUUAAUAUGAUUAUAUUGUUCUUCUCACUAGUGGUAGCAAGGAAGAAAUUCAUACUUCAAAGAUUAAGUACCUAUUCAAGAAGGGGAAGCCGUACAUUCGGAUACCAUCAAACGAUUUGCACAAUGUGAUUCUUUCUGCAACUUAGAAAGGCAGACUAUUGAAAAGUGAAUCGACUUCGUUUUUACAACUUAGACAGAUCACCAAACAAUCAUCUCAAGAGUUGUGAAGAGAUUACACUGACAGGUUUUAGUCUUGGAUAAUUGGUGCUUGCAUUUGAGAUUUUUUUUUUUUUUAAUAUUCUAUCUGAAAAUAUAUUGGAAUUGUACAAUCUAUAAGUGAAUUUUUGGUUUUAUUUUGUUUACAAAUCAGAUCCCCACCGAAGGAAAUCCUUAUAUUCCUUUUUUCAUUAAUGAGGUCUAAAGUCUUUAGCAAUUUUUUUUA
RNA transcript from Macadamia integrifolia, 791 nucleotides. RefSeq lists it as uncharacterized. The transcript has 3 exons. Lineage: Eukaryota; Viridiplantae; Streptophyta; Magnoliopsida; Proteales; Proteaceae. The record is from RefSeq and is a predicted model, not a curated record.